This 23-nucleotide small nuclear RNA is filed under the name Arabidopsis thaliana (thale cress). RNAcentral describes it as "snRNA_01203". Lineage: Eukaryota; Viridiplantae; Streptophyta; Magnoliopsida; Brassicales; Brassicaceae. The record is from RNAcentral.
GAGGGAAUUGGCCGGAUUACCCU